RNAcentral lists this ribosomal RNA (465 nucleotides) under uncultured bacterium. Its description in RNAcentral is "partial 16S ribosomal RNA". It matches the Rfam family "Bacterial small subunit ribosomal RNA", at positions 28 to 507 of the family's 1533-position model. The record is from RNAcentral.
GACGAACGCUGGCGGCGUGCUUAACACAUGCAAGUCGUACGGUAAGGCCCUUUCGGGGGUACACGAGUGGCGAACGGGUGAGUAACACGUGAGUAACCUGCCCACAACUUUGGGAUAACGCUAGGAAACUGGUGCUAAUACUGGAUAUGUGCUCCUGCUGCAUGGUGGGGGUUGGAAAGCUCCGGCGGUUGUGGAUGGACUCGCGGCCUAUCAGCUUGUUGGUGGGGUAGUGGCCUACCAAGGCGGCGACGGGUAGCCGGCCUGAGAGGGUGACCGGCCACAUUGGGACUGAGAUACGGCCCAGACUCCUACGGGAGGCAGCAGUGUGGAAUAUUGCACAAUGGGCGCAAGCCUGAUGCAGCAACGCCGCGUGCGGGAUGACGGCCUUCGGGUUGUAAACCGCGUUCAGCAGGGACGAAGCUUUUUGUGACGGUACCUGCAGAAGAAGCACCGGCUAACUACGUG